GUGCUCGAUUUCCAGCACAAGUACUAAAGUGGGAGCGAUGUAGAGAUUAGCAUGGCCCCUGCUCACAGACAGCACAUAAAUUCAUCAAGUGUUCCAUAUUUAA
RNAcentral lists this small nuclear RNA (103 nucleotides) under Cavia aperea (Brazilian guinea pig). Lineage: Eukaryota; Metazoa; Chordata; Mammalia; Rodentia; Caviidae. The record is from RNAcentral.